Molecule: ribosomal RNA, 496 nt
Filed under: uncultured bacterium
Lineage: Bacteria
Description: partial 16S ribosomal RNA
Rfam family: Bacterial small subunit ribosomal RNA
Source: RNAcentral
GAUGAACGCUGGCGACGUGCCUAAUACAUGCAAGUAGAACGCUGAAGCUUGGUGCUUGCACCGAGCGGAUGAGUUGCGAACGGGUGAGUAAAGCGUAGGUAACCUGCCUCUUAGCGGGGGAUAACUAUUGGAAACGAUAGCUAAUACCGCAUAAAAGUCGAUAUCGCAUGAUAUUGAUUUGAAAGGUGCAAUUGCAUCACUAAGAGAUGGACCUGCGUUGUAUUAGCUAGUUGGUGAGGUAACGGCUCACCAAGGCGACGAUACAUAGCCGACCUGAGAGGGUGAUCGGCCACACUGGGACUGAGACACGGCCCAGACUCCUACGGGAGGCAGCAGUAGGGAAUCUUCGGCAAUGGGGGCAACCCUGACCGAGCAACGCCGCGUGAGUGAAGAAGGUUUUCGGAUCGUAAAGCUCUGUUGUAAGAGAAGAACGAGUGUGAGAGUGGAAAGUUCACACUGUGACGGUAACUUACCAGAAGAGGACGGCUAACUACGU